ACGUAGGAGGCAAGCGUUAUCCGGAGUUACUGGGCGUAAAGGGCGUGCAGGCGGUUGGCUAAGUUCGUUGUGAAAGCGCCCAGGCUUAACCGGGCGAGGACAAUGAAGACUGGUCAGCUAGAGGACGGUAGAGGGGUGUGGAAUUCCGGGUGUAGUGGUGAAAUGCGUAGAGAUCAGGAGGAACAUCCGUGGCGAAGGCGACUGCCUGGGCCAACACUGACACUGAGGCACGAAAGCGUGGGGAGCAAACAG
RNAcentral lists this ribosomal RNA (252 nucleotides) under uncultured prokaryote. RNAcentral describes it as "partial 16S ribosomal RNA". It matches the Rfam family "Bacterial small subunit ribosomal RNA", at positions 525 to 775 of the family's 1533-position model. The record is from RNAcentral.